GGACUACUGGGGUUUCUAAUCCUGUUUGCUCCCCACGCUUUCGCGUCUCAGCGUCAGUUCCGGGCCAGUGAGCCGCCUUCGCCACUGGUGUUCUUGCGAAUAUCUACGAAUUUCACCUCUACACUCGCAAUUCCACUCACCUCUCCCGGACUCAAGGUCUCCAGUAUCAAAGGCAGUUCCAAGGUUGAGCCUUGGCAUUUCACCCCUGACUUAAAGACCCGCCUACACGCGCUUUACGCCCAGUAAUUCCGAACAACGCUAGCCCCCUUCGUAUUACCGCGGCGGCUGGCAC
This 292-nucleotide ribosomal RNA is filed under the name uncultured Alphaproteobacteria bacterium. Its description in RNAcentral is "partial 16S ribosomal RNA". Lineage: Bacteria; Pseudomonadati; Pseudomonadota; Alphaproteobacteria. The record is from RNAcentral.